RNAcentral lists this microRNA (22 nucleotides) under Rehmannia glutinosa. RNAcentral describes it as "rgl-miR7808". The record is from miRBase by way of RNAcentral. Lineage: Eukaryota; Viridiplantae; Streptophyta; Magnoliopsida; Lamiales; Orobanchaceae.
AAGGAUGCUCGAUUCAGAAGAA